AGAGCUAUUAGAUUUUCCAGUCGUCCCUGACACUUGAGCAUUUCUCUCUUUUAUUCUCUUCGUUCCCUUCUGCUAGUGGUAUAUUGUCCAAAAUAGAAAUAAAUAAAUAAUAGGAAAAAAAUAAUUUUAAAAAAAAGCAGCAGCAGCGGCUGUAUCUGCACAUCUCGCGAUACUGCUGCCAUCUUCUCAUUCCCUUUGAGAUCGUCGCUCGACUGUUACACUGAAUCGCUUCCUUGUGAUUGUCUCUCUCUCUCUCUCUCUAUAUUCACUUAUCUAAUCUCGGUCAUUUUGUAUGUGUUCUUUCUUUCUUUUCAACUGCGACUGUUAAAUUUUUGGUACAUCUUGCUUGGAAAACGAAUCAGUGCCUUGCUCUUCGCGCCGUAUGUUAAAUCGAGGUAGAAUAAUUAGAUAAUUCUUUGCUUCUUGUGUUUGUAGGUUUUCGCGGAAGAAAGGUAUUAAGGGAAGAAUUUGGAUAUGUCCGCGCUCUUCAAUUUCCACUCUUUUCUUACGGUAGUGCUGCUGGGGAUUUGUACUUGCACUUAUGUAAAGAUGCAUUUUCCAGCUCUUCUUGAACAGAGGACUGGGAUGACAAGAUAUGAAAUUUCUGAUGCGUGAUGUAUGACGCGUGGACGAUGGAACUCAUAGAAUGGUUACACAAGGAGAUGUUUGAAAAGACUUUCGUUAAUAAGAAAUCAAUACUUGGUUUCGGGGCUUCUUUUGGAAGGCUGCCAGAAUAGGUGAGCGCUUGAGCCCUUGGGUAGCAGUUGGAUGCUUCAUGAUGGGAGUAUCAAUAAUAUUCUUCUGACACAGAAAUGAUUGCUGACUCCAAAGUGAUCGUAGAGCAGUCUCACCCUUCAGAAUUAGUAUUCUUAAAUGCUUUGUACUAUUGAAUUUUUGAGAAAUUCUGUAUUUCCUUUCGUACAGGUGUGAAGUCUUUGUUUCUCAAAUUUGUUUGUUAAUGUGAUAGGAGUUGAUUGUUUACUCGCUAUAUUCUGAGGCUAAAGAAAAUUUUAUAUUCCUUCUCAUGUUACCCAUAUUCUUGUAGUAAGUUAAUUUUCAUGUUUCCGACUCA
Molecule: non-coding RNA, 1072 nt
Organism: Coffea arabica (coffee)
Lineage: Eukaryota; Viridiplantae; Streptophyta; Magnoliopsida; Gentianales; Rubiaceae
Source: RefSeq, a predicted model, not a curated record